AGGAGGAACAGCCCCAAUGGCGGGGCAGCUCUGGAAACCUGGAUUCAGCUCCGGCAGGAACUCCGUCUGCAGGGCCUGGAGGCUCCGGGGCGGG
Molecule: non-coding RNA, 94 nt
Organism: Canis lupus familiaris (dog)
Lineage: Eukaryota; Metazoa; Chordata; Mammalia; Carnivora; Canidae
Source: Rfam